This 2112-nucleotide ribosomal RNA is filed under the name wastewater metagenome. RNAcentral's name for it is "bacterial LSU rRNA". It matches the Rfam family "Bacterial large subunit ribosomal RNA", at positions 3 to 1977 of the family's 2925-position model. The record is from RNAcentral.
UCAAGUUAUGAAGGGCCAACGGUGAAUGCCUUGGCGUCUGCUGCCGAUGAAGGACGUGGGAGGCUGCGAUAAGCCACGGGGAAGUGCCGACCAACUGUCGAUCCGUGGAUGUCCGAAUGGGGAAACCCAGCACCCGUAAUGGGGUGUUACUCCGACCUGAACGCAUAGGGUCGGUAGAGGGAACUGCGUGAACUGAAACAUCUCAGUAACGCGAGGAACGUAAAGCAAAAGCGACUCCCUGAGUAGCGGCGAGCGAAAUGGGAUCAGCCUAAACCGUACUGGUGUUAAAGCCCGAUGGCGUUGCCAGUAUGGGGUAGUGGGAACUAACAGAGGAGUCAUCGGACCCUCAAGGAGUUACAAAGCUGCUGGCUAGUGGAAGCGUCCUGCGAACGGCGCGCCGUAGAGGGUAAGAGCCCCGUACACGAAAGUCAUCAGCCUCCUGUUGUGUCUCCCGAGUAACGCCGGAUCCGGGAAAGCCGGCGUGAAUCUGCGAGGACCACCUCGUAAGGCUAAGUACAUGCAGACGACCGAUAGUGAACUAGUACCGUGAGGGAAAGGUGAAAAGUACCCCGGGAGGGGAGUGAAAUAGUACCUGAAACCGUUGGUCUACAAACAGUCAAAGCAGACUUGUUCUGCGAUGGCGUGCCUUUUGAAGAAUGAGCCAACGAGUUACGGUGUGUGGCAAGGUUAACCCGUCGAGGGGAAGCCGGAGCGAAAGCGAGUCUGAACAGGGCGUUCAGUCGCAUGCCGUAGACCCGAAGCCGAGUGAGCUAUCCAUGGGCAGUGUGAAGCGGAGGUAAGACUCUGUGGAGGCGCGAACCGACUUCAGUUGAAAAUGGAGCGGAUGACCUGUGGAUAGGGGUGAAAGGCCAAUCAAACUCGGUGAUAGCUGGUUCUCCGCGAAAUGCAUUUAGGUGCAGCGUCGCAUGUUCAACCAUGGAGGUAGAGCACUGAAUGGGCUAGGGGGCCUACAAGCUUACCGACCCCAAUCAAACUCCGAAUGCCAUGGUUCCAGAGUGCGGCAGUGAGACCUCGGGGGAUGAGCUUCGAGGUCGAGAGGGAAACAGCCCAGACCGCCGGCUAAGGUCCCAAAAUCUGAACUAAGUGGUAAACGAUGUGAGAUUGCGAAGACAGCCAGGAGGUUGGCUUGGAAGCAGCCAUCCUUGAAAGAGUGCGUAACAGCUCACUGGUCGAGUGAUCUUGCGCGGACAAUGUAACGGGGCUCAAGUUCAGUACCGAAGCCGCGGAUGCGACUCUUUGAGUCGUGUGGUAGCGGAGCGUCGAGCGUGCAGCGAAGCGGCGGGACAACCCAGCCGUGGAGCGCGUUCGAGUGCGAAUGUUGGCAUGAGUAGCGAAUGAGGGGUGAGAACCCCCUCCGCCGUAUGUCCAAGGGUUCCUGGGCGAGGCCAAUCCUCCCAGGGUGAGUCGGGAGCUAAGGCGAGGCCGAAAGGCGUAGUCGAUGCACAACUGGUUGAUAUUCCAGUACCACCAUGUUCGCGACCGUUCCAAUACUUUGUUGCUAAGGGGCUGUGUUGACUUCGGUUAACACGAACCGACCCACAUUGUUGCGGAAAGCUAUAGGGGGACGCAGGAAGGUAGAUGAACCCGGUGAAUGGUAGAACCGGGGUAAGCGUGUAGGAGGAGGACCAGGUAAAUCCGGGCCUCAUAAACUCUGAGACGUGAUACCGAGCCGCUUCAGGCGAAGUCAUUGAUCCUAUGCUGCCUAGAAAAGCCCAGCAGCGAGUUGACAUGGUGCCCGUACCCCAAACCAACACAGGUGGACAGGUAGAGCAUACCAAGGCGAGUGGGAUAACUAUGGUUAAGGAACUCGGCAAAUUGCCUCCGUAACUUCGGGAGAAGGAGGACCCCAGUAGCGUGAUGAGACUUGCUCUCUGAGCGUGAAGGGGUGGCACAAAAUUGAGGGAAGCGACUGUUUACCAAAAACACAGCAGCGUGCUAAGCCGUAAGGCGCUGUAUACGCUGUGACUCCUGCCCGGUGCUGGAAGGUUACGGGGAUGGGUUAGUCCUUCGGGACGAAGCUCUGAACCUAAGCCCCAGUAAACGGCGGCCGUAACUAUAACGGUCCUAAGGUAGCGAAAUUCCUUGUCGGGU